UCCAUCAUGGUGUAAAGGUAACAUACCCGCCUCUCAUGUGACCGUGUGGUCCUGAGGAUAACGCGAGUGCUCGGGGUUUGAUUCCCCGUGUUGGAA
Mycena haematopus is the source of this 96-nucleotide non-coding RNA. The record is from the annotation of a GenBank genome assembly. NCBI's taxonomy places the organism in Eukaryota, Fungi, Basidiomycota, Agaricomycetes, Agaricales, Mycenaceae.